This is a long non-coding RNA of Phyllostomus discolor (pale spear-nosed bat), 140 nucleotides long. RefSeq lists it as uncharacterized. The transcript has 3 exons. The record is from RefSeq and is a predicted model, not a curated record. Lineage: Eukaryota; Metazoa; Chordata; Mammalia; Chiroptera; Phyllostomidae.
CUGGAGUUAAGACGAGUGCUCCUCCCCUCCUGCGGUCAGGCAGCCCAUAUGUCACAGGACUUUGUAACAGGACAUUACUCAUUGGUUCCACAGUCACAAACAGGUCAGGAGUCAAGCUUUUUAAAGGGAAAAAAUCCUCU